This is a long non-coding RNA of Phyllostomus discolor (pale spear-nosed bat), 1106 nucleotides long. RefSeq lists it as uncharacterized. The transcript is spliced from 3 exons. The record is from RefSeq and is a predicted model, not a curated record. NCBI's taxonomy places the organism in Eukaryota, Metazoa, Chordata, Mammalia, Chiroptera, Phyllostomidae.
GCAUUACAAAUAUAGUUAAAGACACAUAUGCAGCAGGGCUAAAAAGGUGUAAGUCAUUGAUACAAUUGGGUGUAAAGGAGAGAUCCUGUCGAACCCGGGUCAAGUGGGGCUUCUGAGGCAUAAAAACAGCCAGUCUUCCCAGAGAGCAUGGUCCCCCAGAGCUGUUUGCUGGAACACAGGAAUAGACAGCCAUUCCACAUAUCAGAAACCAUCCUGUUAGCAGUUUAACAUGAGUAUAAGCAUAAGAUAUGCCAGUGGUGGUGGUGCAAUUCAUCUUCAUACCUGCUGAGAACACAAGACAGUUUUAGUACAGUGAACAAAGGUUGCACACUCUCUAGCUGGGGCUAUAUUAGCAACCGUGUUUUAUGUUUUCACUGAAAACAUUUCCCUGUCUUUUGUAGUUACCACUGGUCCCCAAUUAUAAAUAUCAGAGUAGGUCAUUUUCUUUUCAAUAUGUUCAAACACAGUACAAUUUCUAAGGCUUUCCAAAGGGAUACAGACACCUAUAAGACAUUAAGUGAAAGUUUGUUCAACAUAAGUUCCUCCAGCAAAGCAAAAGUCAGAAAUAUUCAGAACAAUUUUUGCUAAAUAUACCCAAAUAUCUUCAUCCUGUUUGAAGGGAAUAAGUUGUCCAUAAUAAGGGGUUAAACAAGAGGUAAUGAAGAAAACAUAAGUCACUGUCUCUGAAAGAUGACUUUCGGGUCUUCUUGAGGUUCGGUGGUCCAUUGUUCCUCUAGCGCUUUCUUUAUCCUGGUGUGAUGAAUCCAAGGUUUUAUUUUUGCCAGCUCCACCAUGGUGGGGGUGGUGAGGAGUAUGUCCCAAGGUCCAGUCCACUUUCCUUCUAGUUGGCUUUCUGGAGAUGCUGUCACCCAAAUCUUGAGUAGCACCUUGUCUGCAGGCUCAAAGGAAUACAGCAAACCUCCUGAGUAAUUUCUGAAACAAAAGCAGGUUCAUUAUCAAUCUGGAUGCUGCCAGGGAGGCCAAAGUGAGGGAUUAUAUCCUUUAGUAAAUCUUUCACUGCCUCCAAGGAUUUCUCCAUUCUAGUAGGAUAAGGUUCUACCCAUCCUGAAAAAGGUGUCAACAAAGACUAACAAAUAUUUCUACUC